UGCCAGCCGCCGCGGUAAUACGGAGGGUGCAAGCGUUAUCCGGAUUUAUUGGGUUUAAAGGGUACGUAGGCGGAUAAAUAAGUCAGUGGUGAAAGCCCGAAGCUCAACUUCGGAACUGCCAUUGAUACUGUUUAUCUUGAAUUUGGUUGAAGUGGGCGGAAUAUGACAUGUAGCGGUGAAAUGCAUAGAUAUGUCAUGGAACACCAAUAGUGAAGACAGCUCACUAAGCUACGAUUGACGCUGAGGCACGAAAGCGUGGGGAGCGAACAGGAUUAGAUA
This 279-nucleotide ribosomal RNA is filed under the name uncultured bacterium. RNAcentral's name for it is "partial 16S ribosomal RNA". It matches the Rfam family "Bacterial small subunit ribosomal RNA", at positions 506 to 784 of the family's 1533-position model. The record is from RNAcentral.